RNAcentral lists this long non-coding RNA (431 nucleotides) under Gallus gallus (chicken). RNAcentral's name for it is "lncRNA (ENSGALG00010011299.1)". Lineage: Eukaryota; Metazoa; Chordata; Aves; Galliformes; Phasianidae. The record is from RNAcentral.
CACAGCUGCAAAUGAGAUCGCUGCCAGGGCUCUUCGACCAGGGCAGCUUCUCAGCUCCCACUCUGCUCUGACCUCAGCACAGAAAGGAUUUGAAGCACUUGAAGAUACCCUUGGAUUCAGGAUCUACACAGAACCUCAGCAAAAUGGGAGUUCCUAGGAGCAAAUUCCUUCCUAAAGUUUGCACAGCAACCUGGGGCAGUCCCUGACUGAUUUGCAAACCUGGAGACAGAGCCCUGUUCUGCAUCCUGCCCUGAAGACUUCACCCAAUGAACCAACAGCCACACACUCAAAGCACGGUUUAUACUGCUUUUAGCCCAAUUUCUACUUAAAAUAUCGCAUACAUGAUGCAGAAGGAGUCCUUGCAGCAUGUGCCAGCACAGCUACAGCCCUUCAGAGCAGCACAGAGCAAUCCCUCUGUUCGUGGAGUUCAG